This 468-nucleotide ribosomal RNA is filed under the name uncultured bacterium. Its description in RNAcentral is "partial 16S ribosomal RNA". It matches the Rfam family "Bacterial small subunit ribosomal RNA", at positions 28 to 507 of the family's 1533-position model. The record is from RNAcentral.
GACGAACGCUGGCGGCGUGCUUAACACAUGCAAGUCGAACGGAAAGGCCCUGCUUUUGUGGGGUGCUCGAGUGGCGAACGGGUGAGUAACACGUGAGUAACCUGCCCUUGACUUUGGGAUAACUUCAGGAAACUGGGGUUAAUACCGGAUAGGAGCUCCUGCUGCAUGGUGGGGGAUGGAAAGUUUCGGCGGUUGGGGAUGGACUCGCGGCUUAUCAGCUUGUUGGUGGGGUAGUGGCUUACCAAGGCUUUGACGGGUAGCCGGCCUGAGAGGGUGACCGGCCACAUUGGGACUGAGGUACGGCCCAGACUCCUACGGGAGGCAGCAGUGGGAAAUAUUGCGCAAUGGGCGGAAGCCUGAUGCAGCAACGCCGCGUGCGGGAUGACGGCCUUCGGGUUGUAAACCGCUUUCGCCUGUGACGAAGCGUGAGUGACGGUAAUGGGUAAAGAAGCACCGGCUAACUACGUG